Molecule: ribosomal RNA, 468 nt
Filed under: uncultured bacterium
Lineage: Bacteria
Description: partial 16S ribosomal RNA
Rfam family: Bacterial small subunit ribosomal RNA
Source: RNAcentral
GACGAACGCUGGCGGCGUGCUUAACACAUGCAAGUCGAACGGAAAGGCCCUGCUUUUGUGGGGUGCUCGAGUGGCGAACGGGUGAGUAACACGUGAGUAACCUGCCCUUGACUUUGGGAUAACUUCAGGAAACUGGGGCUAAUACCGGAUAGGAGCUCCUGCUGCAUGGUGGGGGUUGGAAAGUUUCGGCGGUUGGGGAUGGACUCGCGGCUUAUCAGCUAGUUGGUGGGGUAGUGGCUUACCAAGGCUUUGACGGGUAGCCGGCCUGGGAGGGUGACCGGCCACAUUGGGACUGCGGUACGGACCAGACUCCUACGGGAGGCAGAAGUCGGGAAUAUUGCACAAUGGGCGGAAGUCUGAUGCAGCAACGCCGCGAGCGGGAUGCCGGCCUUCGGGUUGUAAACAGCUUUCGCCUGUGACGAAGCGUGAGUGACGGUAAUGGGUAAAGAAGCACCGGCUAACUACGUG